GACGAACGCUGGCGGCGUGCUUAACACAUGCAAGUCGAACGGAAAGGCCCUGCUUUUGUGGGGUGCUCGAGUGGCGAACGGGUGAGUAACACGUGAGUAACCUGCCCUUGACUUUGGGAUAACUUCAGGAAACUGGGGCUAAUACCGGAUAGGAGCUCCUGCUGCAUGGUGGGGGUUGGAAAGUUUCGGCGGUUGGGGAUGGACUCGCGGCUUAUCAGCUUGUUGGUGGGGUAGUGGCUUACCAAGGCUUUGACGGGUAGCCGGCCUGAGAGGGUGACCGGCCACAUGGGGACUGAGAUACGGCCCAGACUCCUACGGGGGGCAGCAGUGGGGAAUAUUGCACAAUGGGGGGAAGCCUGAGGCAGCAGCGCCGCGUGCGGGAUGACGGCCUUCGGGUUGUAAACCGCUUUCGCCUGUGACGAAGCGUGAGUGACGGUAAUGGGUAAAGAAGCACCGGCUAACUACGUG
Molecule: ribosomal RNA, 468 nt
Filed under: uncultured bacterium
Lineage: Bacteria
Description: partial 16S ribosomal RNA
Rfam family: Bacterial small subunit ribosomal RNA
Source: RNAcentral